Molecule: long non-coding RNA, 979 nt
Organism: Dunckerocampus dactyliophorus (ringed pipefish)
Lineage: Eukaryota; Metazoa; Chordata; Actinopteri; Syngnathiformes; Syngnathidae
Exons: 4
Source: RefSeq, a predicted model, not a curated record
UGUGAGGAAAUGAGCACAGAGGCACCUGAUUUAAUGUGCAGGUAAGUGACAAUGCACAAUAUUUCGGUAGGGGAUUUUAAUGCAGUAGGUCUGUAAAACUAAGCAAGGUCCGACACCAACACGAGGUACCGUGCCUGCUCCUCCAACUAGCACCGAUGUCGGCUGCUAGCUACACCUGUGGAGCAGACAGACAUGCCCAGAACUUGACGGGCCAAGCUACCUAAAACGAUCUAUUUUUCAACUAUAAUAGUCUGUUUGUUACUGACAGUGUCAUCAGGAGAGUUAAGAAACAUGCUGUUAACAUUUCUGCUAAAUUGUUUUAGAGCUGUAUGACGAUGUAAAGUAAUGUUUUCUCUCAUACUGUGAAUCUCUAAUCUUAACUGUAGUGCCACUCAGAGUUUUAGUCAUAUCGACACUACCAGAUAAUGUUUGGACAUGGAUAUAUAUUAUUAAAGCAAAUAUGACAGAAAGAAGGAUGAGGAGGAGGAGAAAGAGUCCUGAGCAGGAUGCUGUGGAUCAUAUCCUACAAGCAAGAGACAAACCCUUCCUAGAGGGAAAAUUUAUCAACACAUUUAAAGGGAGAGGUGUGUUUACACAGGAGUAUAUUGAACCAAAAAGUUUUGUGGUGGAGUACCGUGGAGUUUUGUCUCUGAGUAAAGCCCACGAUGACAAAAACAACAACUAUUUGUUUGAUUUCAAGUUGAACGGGCAGCACUAUUGCAUAGAUGCUUUGAAAGAAGAUGGAACGCUUGGGCGACUAGUAAAUGAUCACAUCAAUCCGAACUGCAAAAUGAAAAAAAAUAAUGCUAAAAGGAAGGCCACACUUGCCUGUUUGCUUUGAAAGAAAUAUUUCCAGGCGAAGAAAUAACCUAUAACUAUGGUGAUUCCCCUUGGCCAUGGUGUUCAAAGGCACACUGUAAAGAACCACGUACAACACAGUCAGAGAAAAAGUUGUCCACCUCAGCACAGGAGCAAAAGG